RNAcentral lists this ribosomal RNA (655 nucleotides) under uncultured Methanosaeta sp. Its description in RNAcentral is "bacterial SSU rRNA". It matches the Rfam family "Archaeal small subunit ribosomal RNA", at positions 224 to 879 of the family's 1478-position model. The record is from RNAcentral. Lineage: Archaea; Methanobacteriati; Methanobacteriota; Methanomicrobia; Methanotrichales; Methanotrichaceae.
AUCAGGUAGUAGUGGGUGUAGCGUACCUACUAGCCUACGACGGGUACGGGUUGUGAGAGCAAGAGCCCGGAGAUGGAUUCUGAGACACGAAUCCAGGCCCUACGGGGUGCAGCAGGCGCGAAAACUUUACAAUGCUGGAAACAGCGAUAAGGGAACCUCGAGUGCCAGGUUACAAAUCUGGCUGUCGUGAUGCCUAAAAAGCAUUGCAUAGCAAGGGCCGGGCAAGACCGGUGCCAGCCGCCGCGGUAACACCGGCGGCUCGAGUGGUAACCGUUAUUAUUGGGUCUAAAGGGUCUGUAGCCGGCCGGAUAAGUCUCCUGGGAAAUCUGGCAGCUUAACUGUCAGGCUUUCAGGAGAUACUGUCUGGCUCGAGGCCGGGAGAGGUGAGAGGUACUUCAGGGGUAGGGGUGAAAUCUUGUAAUCCUUGAAGGACCACCAGUGGCGAAGGCGUCUCACCAGAACGGACCUGACGGCAAGGGACGAAAGCUAGGGGCACGAACCGGAUUAGAUACCCGGGUAGUCCUAGCCGUAAACGAUACUCGCUAGGUGUCGGCCACGGUGCGACCGUGGUCGGUGCCGUAGGGAAGCCGUGAAGCGAGCCACCUGGGAAGUACGGCCGCAAGGCUGAAACUUAAAGGAAUUGGCGGGGGAGCAC